This 767-nucleotide ribosomal RNA is filed under the name Staphylococcus saprophyticus. RNAcentral's name for it is "bacterial SSU rRNA". It matches the Rfam family "Bacterial small subunit ribosomal RNA", at positions 106 to 859 of the family's 1533-position model. Lineage: Bacteria; Bacillati; Bacillota; Bacilli; Caryophanales; Staphylococcaceae. The record is from RNAcentral.
GUGAGUAACACGUGGGUAACCUACCUAUAAGACUGGGAUAACUUCGGGAAACCGGAGCUAAUACCGGAUAACAUUUGGAACCGCAUGGUUCUAAAGUGAAAGAUGGUUUUGCUAUCACUUAUAGAUGGACCCGCGCCGUAUUAGCUAGUUGGUAAGGUAACGGCUUACCAAGGCGACGAUACGUAGCCGACCUGAGAGGGUGAUCGGCCACACUGGAACUGAGACACGGUCCAGACUCCUACGGGAGGCAGCAGUAGGGAAUCUUCCGCAAUGGGCGAAAGCCUGACGGAGCAACGCCGCGUGAGUGAUGAAGGGUUUCGGCUCGUAAAACUCUGUUAUUAGGGAAGAACAAACGUGUAAGUAACUGUGCACGUCUUGACGGUACCUAAUCAGAAAGCCACGGCUAACUACGUGCCAGCAGCCGCGGUAAUACGUAGGUGGCAAGCGUUAUCCGGAAUUAUUGGGCGUAAAGCGCGCGUAGGCGGUUUCUUAAGUCUGAUGUGAAAGCCCACGGCUCAACCGUGGAGGGUCAUUGGAAACUGGGAAACUUGAGUGCAGAAGAGGAAAGUGGAAUUCCAUGUGUAGCGGUGAAAUGCGCAGAGAUAUGGAGGAACACCAGUGGCGAAGGCGACUUUCUGGUCUGUAACUGACGCUGAUGUGCGAAAGCGUGGGGAUCAAACAGGAUUAGAUACCCUGGUAGUCCACGCCGUAAACGAUGAGUGCUAAGUGUUAGGGGGUUUCCGCCCCUUAGUGCUGCAGCUAACGCA